GGUUGAUCCUGCCAGUAGCAUAUGCUUGUCUCAAAGAUUAAGCCAUGCAUGUCUAAGUAUAAACACCUUUAUACUGUGAAACUGCGUACAGCUCAUUAUAUCAGUAAUUAUUUAUUUGAUGGUACACUACUACAUGGAUACCUGUAGUAAUUCUAGAGCUAAUACAUGCACAAAGUCCUGACUCGUGAGGGAAAGGAUGUAUUUAUUAGAUAAAAAAUCAAUGCCGGUUCUACCGGGUUUAUUGAUGAGUCAUAAUAACUGUUCGAAUCGCACGGCCUCGCGCUGGCGAUAGU
RNAcentral lists this ribosomal RNA (293 nucleotides) under uncultured eukaryote. RNAcentral's name for it is "partial 18S ribosomal RNA". It matches the Rfam family "Eukaryotic small subunit ribosomal RNA", at positions 6 to 294 of the family's 1831-position model. The record is from RNAcentral.